This 1096-nucleotide long non-coding RNA is filed under the name Nicotiana tabacum (common tobacco). RNAcentral's name for it is "long non-coding RNA (NTAB_LNC012113)". Lineage: Eukaryota; Viridiplantae; Streptophyta; Magnoliopsida; Solanales; Solanaceae. The record is from RNAcentral.
GUCAAUUUAACCUAUCCCACCUAGCAGUCACCACUACAGAUGUUGCCUUUAUGUAUUUUCUCACUUUUCGCCUUUCUAAAUUUUUCUUCCUUCAGUUAUACAAGUUUCAGUCUGUUUUCUUUGUCGAUUUGUACCACUUUUGUAUUCAUCACUUAAAUUCAUCGGUUCUUGAUGUUGUGUCAAUUUUUUUGACAAGAGAAAUUGGAGUUUCGGUUGAAUUUCUCUGCCGCCCAAAGUCUCCGCAGCGUCUAACCACAAAUUAAAGCUAGUAUCUUCUUCUCCAGGUCUAUUUCCGCAAUUAGCUAGAGGAAUAUCUUAUAUUUUUAUUUUAAGGAACUGAAUUAUCAGUUUAUGAAAAUAGAGUUGGCGGUGAUAUCUAAGCCUUUGAAUGCUUCGACAACUUCGUCAAUUGGGUGGUAAAGUGAGUUGCUGUUGAAUUUCAAGAAGAUUAAGAGAAAUAAGAAGAGGUUCUCGGUGAUGAAAGUUAAGUUACGGUGGAGCAAACUGGUAAUUAAUCAUGGAUCCCUGCUUUCUCUGUUUUUUUUUUGUUUGUAUUUUUGUUAAGGUGAUUUUAACCUAAGGCUCGAAAUUGAAUUUUUGUGCAUUCUGUCAUUCUACUCUCAUUUUAAUGAUGGAGUGAAUGAAUGAAAGGUCUUCAAAUGCACAUAGGAUUUUACUGAAGUUCAUAUGGAAAUAAAAAAGCAAGGAUUGCGAGGCAACUACUUGACAAUAUUGUGGGUAGCUCAUAUUGCAAGGUCAAGAAUGAACCUUAUAAAUCACUGUUACUAAAGAAGACUAUAAGAGUUUUUGUUGUUGCCUAACGUUUUGGCAUACUAUAGAAACUUAUUUAAUCAGUUGAUUUAGACAAUCUAAUCUAGCUUUAAUAGUUAUCUUUGUAUCUUCUAUUUUUGCGCAAUUCCAAAAUACAUUUGGUUUUAUCCUGGAGAAUAAUAUAAAUCCUAUGUUCUUAUAUGUUGUUUUAGAGUGUUGUGCAUAUUUAUAAUGUUGAAACACCGCCUUUAUUAUUCGAGCACCAAAUAUAUUUUACUGUAUCUUUCUAUUGGCACAAUAUUCUCUUUUUUCUAAUUUAAGUUAC